AGCAGCCGCGGUAAUUCCAGCUCCAAUAGCGUAUAUUAAAGUUGUUGCAGUUAAAAAGCUCGUAGUUGAACUUCAGGCCUGUCCAGAUGGUCCGCCUUAAUUGGUGUGUACUGUCCUUGGGUGGGUCCUACCUUCUGGCGAAGCGGCAUGGCCUUAGUUGGUUGUGUCGGGGAACCAGGACUUUUACUGUGAAAAAUUAGAGUGUUCAAAGCAGGCAAAUAUGCUCGAAUACAUUAGCAUGGAAUAAUGGAAUAGGACGAUGGUUCUAUUUUGUUGGUUCUAGGACCGUUGUAAUGAUUAAUAGGGAUAGUUGGGGGCAUUAGUAUUCAAUUGUCAGAGGUGAAAUUCUUGGAUUUAUUGAAGACUAACUACUGCGAAAGCAUUUGCCAAGGAUGUUUUCAUUAAUCAAGAACGAAAGUUAGGGGAUCGAAGACGAUCAGAUACCGUCGUAGUCUUAACCAUAAACUAUGCCGACUAGGAAUCGGGCGAUGUUGACAAAAUGACUCGCUCGG
This 512-nucleotide unclassified non-coding RNA is filed under the name uncultured Paraglomus. RNAcentral describes it as "bacterial SSU rRNA". It matches the Rfam family "Eukaryotic small subunit ribosomal RNA", at positions 569 to 1083 of the family's 1831-position model. The record is from RNAcentral. Lineage: Eukaryota; Fungi; Glomeromycota; Glomeromycetes; Paraglomerales; Paraglomeraceae.